AGAAUAAUUCACAAUGGACGAAAGUCUGCUGGUGCAACGCCGCGUGGAGGAUGAAGGUCUUCGGAUUGUAAACUCCUGUCAUCGGGGAGUAAGACCUGACGGUAAAUAGCCGGCCGGGUUGAUAGUACCCGAAGAGGAAGGGACGGCUAACUUCGUGCCAGCAGCCGCGGUAAUACGAAGGUCCCAAGCGUUGUUCGGAAUCACUGGGCGUAAAGGGAGCGUAGGCGGCGCGGUAAGUCAGAUGUGAAAUCCCGGGGCUCAACCCCGGAACUGCAUCCGAUACUGCCGGGCUUGAGGGUUGGAGAGGUAGCUGGAAUUCUCGGUGUAGCAGUGAAAUGCGUGGAUAUCGAGAGGAACACUCGUGGCGAAGGCGAGCUACUGGACAACAUCUGACGCUGAGGCUCGAAGGCCAGGGGAGCAAAA
Molecule: ribosomal RNA, 423 nt
Filed under: uncultured bacterium
Lineage: Bacteria
Description: bacterial SSU rRNA
Rfam family: Bacterial small subunit ribosomal RNA
Source: RNAcentral